Molecule: non-coding RNA, 107 nt
Organism: Arthroderma sp. PD_2
Lineage: Eukaryota; Fungi; Ascomycota; Eurotiomycetes; Onygenales; Arthrodermataceae
Source: the annotation of a GenBank genome assembly
GGGGCAAUGGCGUAGUUGGGAGCGCGUCUGACUGAAGCAACGCUUCAAUGACAAGGUAUUCCACCUAGUUGAUCAGGAGGUCACCGGUUCGAUCCCGGUUUGCCCCA